Molecule: ribosomal RNA, 465 nt
Filed under: uncultured bacterium
Lineage: Bacteria
Description: partial 16S ribosomal RNA
Rfam family: Bacterial small subunit ribosomal RNA
Source: RNAcentral
GACGAACGCUGGCGGCGUGCUUAACACAUGCAAGUCGAACGGAAAGGCCCCGUUUGCAGGGUACUCGAGUGGCGAACGGGUGAGUAACACGUGGGUGACCUGCCCUGCACUUUGGGAUAACUCCAGGAAACUGGGUCUAAUACCGGAUAGGAGCUCCUUCUGCAGGGUGGGUGGGGGAGAGUUUUGGGGGUAGGGUGAGCACUCGGGGCAUCAGAUUGUUGGGGGGGGGAUGGCCUACCAAGGCGUCGAGGGGUAGACGGCCCGAGAGGGUGGACGGCCACAUUGGGACUGAGAUACGGCCCAGACUCCUACGGGAGGCAGCAGUGGGGAAUAUUGCACAAUGGGCGCAAGCCUGAUGCAGCGACGCCGCGUGGGGGAUGACGGCCUUCGGGUUGUAAACUCCUUUCGCUAGGGACGAAGCUUUUUGUGACGGUACCUAGAUAAGAAGCACCGGCUAACUACGUG